GACCUCCCAUCCGCUCAUCUUUUUACACGUUUACCUUUGAUUCUUUCUUUGCUUAUUUGCAGGCUCUUUGCCAGGCGCUGGGAGAUCAGGAGUGAUUCACGCGCCCUGCCCACAGCGGUCUUGCAGUCUAGUGCUCAAGAUACUCUUGUCCACAACCAGCUGUGAUACAAAGUAAAUACAGCCAGUGCUCCAAUCAAGUGCGGUGGGAGGGUCAUAGUCACCACAAAAUGAUGAAAAUUACUUUUAAUUCAGCGCCUACUAUAUGUCCAUUAUCCCACAAGGGAAGAAGGCUUGGACUGCACUUCUCACUCCCAACCCACCUCCACGUUGAUCUGUCUUCCUGACCCAGCACCUGCAGAGCUAACUCUAACCCACUGGUGCACCACCUGCAAGCUACACCAGCCUCCGUUGAGACCAUUCAUUUACAGCACAUGCCCAGGCAGCCUGACAAAGGACAGCGGUGACCCCCUACCAAGGACACGUGCUGGACAAGCAGAGAAAACUGUACUGGAUAGACAAACCGCCCUCUUGAUUGGAAGGACAUCUCCAACCUUUAACCACUGGCUGUAUUUAUUUAGGAUACAAGAGACUAAACAGACAUUUGUUUCCCUGGAUUGUCCUGUUUCAUCUGAGUCCCAGUUGGAGACAAAAGUGUGAUUCCCUCUGAUUGAUCACUGACAACCCCACUCCUUUUCUGAUGAAGCUUCCAAGGGAUACUUUUGCUUUAUCUUCAAAAGGCCUACUGCCCUGGAGCAUGCUGUUCUGGUGUCACACACAGUUUUCUAGCUUUUUAGUUUCUACCUGCUUUUGGGAUGGAUUUCAUUUCCCACAUUUCUGACUGGGGGAAAACUUCUACAAAAAGCAGAGGCUUAAAAAAAAAAAAGGCAGAGGCUCCUGACUCAGAUCCAAAGAGCUGUCAGUGAAAAGAGAAGAUGGAACUGUAGACAGAAAUAACCCACUGAUGAAGCAAUUGUAUGUGUGGGCAAGGGGAGAGAAAGUUCUGAGAUUCUAUGAGAAUCAGUAAGCACAGAAAACUGGGCAAUCGUUUAGGAUAGCCUAAUGAAAACUUAAGCAAUGAGGAUGUGCCCCUCCAACAGUACACGGGUGCAAGUUAUCCAAACCUCAAUGUCCUUAUUUCUUCAUAUGGCUUUGGUUUUCUCCUCUAGCCCUCUGGUGAAGAGUUCCUGAGUCCAGGAAUGGGUGCAACAGUGGUGGGUUUGGAGUAAGCGUGGUUCCACUCCUUGACCACUGGAUGGGUAUCGGCCCAUGCCUCUCCUGGGGAUGAUAGGACAGCGAGUGCACCAAGUGGCGAAAUGUCAGGUGCAGGCGGUGGCUGGCAGUUGCUGCACUCAAGAGUUAUUGCUUCCUGAUGAGGCCCAGAGAUUCGACUGAGGUAAUUCCAAAGCCCUCCACUUUUCAUAGAGGGGGUCUAACAUUUCAGCAUUAGGUAUGCGCAGGUGCUAUUAGUGAGGGAGGAAAAAAAAAUGUGUUGUACUGGAGUGGCCUGAGACUUGGUGUCAAUCUUUCUUAAAUCUUGGUGGCCCAAACCUGAAUACGCUGCUAUUCUAAAGCACCUUGCAGUUUUCCCAUUUAUGUUUUGAACAGAGAGUGCUCUUUUGUCUCCGAAAAUCCCUUUGCAAUGCUUGAGUGUUCCUUUUGGUUCAGUGAAGGCAAAGGCCAUUUUUUAUAGUGGAAUGGACACAUGGGACACAGCUCAAGUGCUGUGCAUAAUAAUGCCAUGGUAGACUAUUUUUUAAGUUAACUGGGAGUCCAGCCUGAAAUAGGUUGGAGUAGAGGUGGAGAGAAAAUUCUCUUCUGUUGGUGGCUUGUAAAAGAGUGGAGAGAUGACCUUGAGGGGAGUAAAGUCCUUCUGGGAGGCAAUGAGCAAUGGACUACGGAUGAUAAUAGCCACUUCUAAAUCUUCUGGUCUUUGCUUUCCAAAUUACCCAGAGAGGGGCCACACAGUGGUCUUGUUCUACAUUCCCAUCAUAGCUUAAAGCAAACUUUCACAAUGUUCAGAGCCCAUCAUGGCCUGCAAAUGAAGGAGGAUGUCCUCGAAUUCCUUGCAGCAGGAACCCACUUAAGUGGCACUAACCUUGACUUCCAAAUGGAACAGUACACCUACAAAAGGAAAAGUGGUGGGAUCUACAUCAUAAAUCUGAAGAGAACCUGAGAGAAGCUUCUGCUGGCAGUUUGUGCCAUUGGAGCCUUGAAAACCCAGCUGAUGUCAAUGUCAUAUCAUCUGGGAAUACUGGCCAGAGAGCUGUGCUGAAGUUUGCUGCUGCUACUGGAGCCACUCCCUGACGCUGGCUGCUUCACCCCUGGAAACUUCACUAAGUAGAUCCAGGCAGCCUUCCUGGAACCGAGACUUCUGGUGGUUACAGAUCCCAGGGCUGACCACUAGCCUCUCACAGAGGCAUCUUAUGUUAACCUGCCUACCAUCGCUCAUGUAACACAAACUCUCCUAUGUGCUAUAUAGACAUUGCUAUCGCUUACAACAAGAGAGCUCACUCAGUGGGUCUGAUGUGGUGGAUGCUGGCCUGGGAAGUUCUGCACAUCUGUGGCACCAUCAGGUCCUACCUGUCUCUUCUUCUACAGAGAUCUUGAAGAGAUUGAAAAGGAAGAGCAGCUUCCUGAGUUCACUGCUACUCAACCUGAAGUUGCAGACUGAACUGAAGGUGUGCAGGUGCCCUCUAUGCCUAUUCAGCAGUCCUCUACUGAAGACUGGAGUGCUCAGCCUGCCAGUGAAGACUGUUCUGCAGCUCCCACUGCUUAGACCACUGAAUGGAUAGGAACAACACCGAGUGGUCUUAAGCUGCUUUUCUACAACGGCAAACAAAAUGGAAUAGGGUUGAUGGAAAUGAAACAGUUUCUUAAAAAAAAAAAAACCACAAAACUUCUAGUCUUUCUAUUCUCAAACUUUCAUUAACAGUCUGGUGUUGGGGUGCCUGGGUGGCUCAGUCGGUUGAGCGUCCGACUUCGACUCAGGUCAUGAUCUCACAGCUCGCGGGUUCGAGCCCCGCGUCGGGCUCUGUGCUGAUGGCUUGGAGCCUGGGGCCUGCUUCGCAUUCUGUGUCUCCCUCUCUUUCUGCUCCUAACCCACUCACAUUCUGUCUGUGUCUCUCUCAAGAAAUAAAUAAACAUUUAAAAAAAUUAAAAAAAAAAA
Molecule: long non-coding RNA, 3166 nt
Organism: Acinonyx jubatus (cheetah)
Lineage: Eukaryota; Metazoa; Chordata; Mammalia; Carnivora; Felidae
Exons: 4
Source: RefSeq, a predicted model, not a curated record